CAUGUUUAACUUGAACCCUUCCCCCCUCCUUCAAGGUCACCCAAGUUGAAGUUCACGUUGAAGGUCUCAACAUCAACAAAAGCGGAAACUUAAUUGAACCUAACCUACAUGGAUAAAAACAUAAACCAUGGAAGAAGCAGAUGUUCUUCUAAGGGACACCCUAGAGGCAGCAAAGUGGUGAGAACGCCAAACAUUUAAAGGCACCGUUUCCCUCCAUAGUGUAAUUGGGAUGGACGGGGAAGACCGCAUUACAACCCUUAAAGAACUACGGUUGUAUAAUGGCCUGGAUGAAGAGCAAAAUAUUACUCUCAAGGAACCAUUCAUGUUCUCAUUCCAGUUACAGAGAGAUGAUGAGAUGUUCUAUGUGGAGGCAGUUGACAACAAGCAAAUGACUGUCUUUGUCUCGUUUGAGGAGCAGGAGUGAAGCCAUUUUUGAGGAGUGGUCAAAUCUUGUUAUUGUCUGCUGUGUUAAUGAUUUCCUUUGUAAAUUGUGUUAUGUUGUUUAGUAAAGAUGCCGUAGAAGUCA
Molecule: long non-coding RNA, 526 nt
Organism: Oncorhynchus gorbuscha (pink salmon)
Lineage: Eukaryota; Metazoa; Chordata; Actinopteri; Salmoniformes; Salmonidae
Exons: 2
Source: RefSeq, a predicted model, not a curated record